AUGGAAGUAAAAGUUGUCCCCGGACCUCCGCGCCGCGCCCGUCAUCAGCUCUGCCUUGACGACGGGGCCAUUGUCAGCAGGUCUCAGCUCCUCGAGGACAAAAUUGGAAAGAAUAUAAAUUGCAGAGCCGCAAAAGAGGCGGAGGCGGUGCGUGCGCGCGCGCGCGUGUCCCGGGAGGUGGCGUCUAUUAGCAUCAAUACGGCGGAGCCAGGGGACCCAGCCGGAGCCUGCAAACUUCGAGCCAAACUCCAGGAUCGCGCCCCCCCCCCCCCCUCCUCCUCCUCCCCUCCGUGCCUGACCCCUGCCGCGGGAAAGGCGUCCCCGGGGAAGCCCGGGGGAGCCUGGGGGCUCCGAGAGAGUGGCCUCGGAUUCGCUGCUCCGCCUCCCCCUCCCGACGAUGGGCUUUGCCCUGGAGCGCUUCGCCGAAGCGGCGGACCCGGACUGCAAGUGCAAACUGUGCGGCCAGGUGCCGGAGGAGCCGCUGUGCACGCCGUGCGGGCACGUCUUCUGCGCCGGCUGCCUGCUGCCCUGGGUGGCGCGGCGGCGCCGGGGCCCGCUGCAGCGCCAGCCCCCCGCGCCGGGCGAGCUGCACCGGGCGCCGCCUGCGCGCAGCCUCCUGCAGCAGCCGCGCGUCCAGGGCGGCGGCCGCUCGGCCCGGCUGCACGAGCUGGCGGCGCACGUCGAGCGCGGGGCCCGGCGCCGCCCGCGGGGCUGCGUCUCGGGGCCCGGCGGCCGCGGCGGCGGGGACCUGCCCGCGCGGGGGGGCUGCGGCGCGGCGCCGGGGCCGGGGCCGGGGCCGGGGCCCGGCCGGGGCGGGGGCGCGCGCGGGGGGCCGCCGGGCGGGAGCGGGAGCGGCAGCGGCAGCGGCAGCGGGCGGGGGCCCGGGGCGCGAGUCCUGGCCUGGAGGCGGCGCGAGAGGGCUCUGCGGGCGCAGCUCCGGGCGCUGCAGGGCGAGGUGCAGCUCGCGGCCCGCGGGUACCGGGAGAAGUUCGCGCAGUACAUGGCUCACGUCCGCAACUUCGCCGGGGAGCUGGGCGGCGGCCGCGGCCCGGAUGGAGAACAUAAGCCAUUCACCAUUGUGUUAGAAAGAGAAAAUGACACAUUGGGAUUCAAUAUUAUAGGAGGUCGACCAAAUCAGGUAACCUACUUUGUUCAUGCAUAACUCACUCUUUGCUUGUAAAAUAAUAGAAGACAGCUUUCAUUUGUAGAUUUUAAUAAGGAAAACAAGUGAUUUAAUCUUUAAUAGCAUGCUUAUGAUCAAAUAUCAGAUUCCUUAAUGCAGAUUCUCAGUACAUAAUUACAUUUUUUUGAAAAAAAAAAAAAAAACCAACAAAAAAACCCAACAGCUAACAAAUUCGUCCCUCUUUCCUACUUUAGAAAAAAAGGAGAGUUUGUUUCACAUUUUAUUUACAUUGUAUAGCCCCAUUGGUAAACUUCUUAAACCUAUUUCACAAUAAUAUGAAUAGGCAAUUUCUACUUGAUAAUAUUAGAUAACUAUAUUGCCUGAUUAUACCCUCUAAUUAUUAAAAUCAGUUUGUUAGUGUUUAGGUGCUAACACAGACCAGGCAGUUUAUAAUGCACGUUGAUGGAAUGAACAGUUAAAAUAAAUUGAAAUAAGGAAUAAUUGUUUUCACAAUUAUAUAAGAAAUACCAUGUUAAAGAUAAUUGAUUUGCAAUAUUGUUGGCUCCCCAAAUCAAAUCCUUAAUUUAAUUGAAUGAAUAAUAUUUUGUUAAUUGAUGCCAAUUGUUUUCAAAAUACAUGAGUUGUAAACUUAAGCCAGUUACUGUAGUUGCAGAGUUCUUUUAUAUCCUUCAAAUACUACAUCAAUUUAAUUUUCAACAUAACUAGAACAAAGUGGUAAAGUUAAAAUAAAAAAGAAGCAUGUUCUUUAAUUUUCUUAAUAAACUGCCGUGAAAUUCUUGCAUCUUGCAUUGCAGAUGUUGUCCAAGGAAACUGUCUUAGAGUUGUUGGCCAUAUGCUGUGUUUAGGUCAGGAUGGCAAUGACAUAUUUCCCCCUUACUGUUUAGUAUUUUGAAAACCUAGCAACUAAUGACUGCUGUGCUUCUGUUUCUAGAACAGUCUCUAUUUAUUAUGAAAAGAUAGAAGUCUUCUCAUCGUAUCUUUUUUGUUUUCUUUUCCCCUAAGGAAUAUUUUUAUAAAAUGCUACUCAGGUGUUUGACAUUUAGAGCACACUGGACAUUUUUAAGAGGCUCUUCAGAUUCAUGUUAACGAAGGUUAAUUAAGGAGAAAUAAUUGUAUUUAAAC
This 2266-nucleotide long non-coding RNA is filed under the name Canis lupus familiaris (dog). Its description in RNAcentral is "lncRNA (ENSCAFG00845030581.1)". The record is from RNAcentral. Lineage: Eukaryota; Metazoa; Chordata; Mammalia; Carnivora; Canidae.